This 76-nucleotide transfer RNA is filed under the name Chloroflexi bacterium RBG_16_50_11. Its description in RNAcentral is "tRNA-Ala". It matches the Rfam family "tRNA". Rfam says of the family: Transfer RNA (tRNA) molecules are approximately 80 nucleotides in length. Their secondary structure includes four short double-helical elements and three loops (D, anti-codon, and T loops). Further hydrogen bonds mediate the characteristic L-shaped molecular structure. tRNAs have two regions of fundamental functional importance: the anti-codon, which is responsible for specific mRNA codon recognition, and the 3' end, to which the tRNAs corresponding amino acid is attached (by aminoacyl-tRNA synthetases). tRNAs cope with the degeneracy of the genetic code in two manners: having more than one tRNA (with a specific anti-codon) for a particular amino acid; and 'wobble' base-pairing, i.e. permitting non-standard base-pairing at the 3rd anti-codon position. Lineage: Bacteria; Bacillati; Chloroflexota. RNAcentral also lists the same sequence under 1 other name. The record is from RNAcentral.
GGGGAUAUAGCUCAGCCGGGAGAGCGCCGCGUUCGCAUCGCGGAGGUCGGGGGUUCGAAUCCCCCUAUCUCCACCA